UCCGGCUUCUCGCCGGCAGUCUCCUAUGAGUCCCCACCAUCACGUGCUGGCAACAUAGAACGAGGGUUGCGCUCGUUGCGGGACUUAACCCAACAUCUCACGACACGAGCUGACGACAACCAUGCACCACCUGUGAACCGGCCCCAAAGGGGAAACCACAUUUCUGCGGAGGUCCGGUCCAUGUCAAGCCUUGGUAAGGUUCUUCGCGUUGCAUCGAAUUAAUCCGCAUGCUCCGCCGCUUGUGCGGGCCCCCGUCAGUUCCUUUGAGUUUCAGCCUUGCGGCCGUACUCCCCAGGCGGAGUGCUUAAUGCGUUUGCUGCAGCACUAAAGGGCGGAAACCCUCUAACACUUAGCACUCAUCGUUUACGGCGUGGACUAC
This 379-nucleotide unclassified non-coding RNA is filed under the name uncultured bacterium. RNAcentral's name for it is "contains 16S-23S intergenic spacer region". The record is from RNAcentral.